UGAGAUAGGUAUAGCUUCAUAAUACAAAAAGCAAAAGCUAUGAAAAAGCAGAGGACAGCGUUUCCCUUUAACUUAACUGAUGGAAAAUACAAAAGCAGGACUGAAUGCCAACUUUGCCUCCAAAUUCCUUUACACACAGAUCUUGAGAAUAUGCGUCAGGUACAUAAUAAUGGGAUCCUGAAGGGCUUAUUACAAAUCUCACUACACUUGAGAAGAGAAUAUUUUGUCUUUUUUCUCAUUCUCCAUGGUCUCUCCAUUCCCACCAGGUUGCUGCUCACUGUGAUGUACGUCAGGGUGCACGCCAGACAGCACAGGACACUGCAGCAGAGCUUGUCAGCUCCAACUGCUCAUUCGUUUGGAAAACCUGUCCAGUGGCACACUGCAAGUUAGAGCAACCUGCUACACAACAGAUUAAAGAGGUGACCACUGCAACAGUUACAGAACAGACUAUUGGGGGUGAAUACAUUUUUAAGCCUGACAGAAGCCUUCUGUGAAUUUUAAGAGUCUAGUCUGAUAACAUUUAACAUAAGUAAGCAUAAGUAGAACAGUGCAUGUGUAAGAAAUUGCAGAGUAAUCAUGUCUGUGAGAUAACAAAAAUAUAAAGUAACUAAAGCUAGAAAAAAGAUUCAUUUGAACCAACACUAAACCUGUACUGACAGGGGAGGAGAGUUAACAUGGAAAUGAAAGACUAAUAUGUAUGCAUAAGAAAAGAUAACAAAACGUUAUACGUAAGUGUGUGUAAUACAGGAAGGUUGAACCUGUACUGGUCGGUGCUGGAGGCGACUGUGAUGAGAUUGUCCCGAUGAGCUUCCCCCUUGUAAGUAACUGAUCAGCAUGUGCCGAGUGUUUUGCCUUAAUAAAGAUUUGUUAUACCCA
Long non-coding RNA from Gopherus flavomarginatus (Mexican gopher tortoise), 876 nucleotides. RefSeq lists it as uncharacterized. The record is from RefSeq and is a predicted model, not a curated record. The transcript has 2 exons. Lineage: Eukaryota; Metazoa; Chordata; Testudines; Testudinidae.